GAUGAACGCUGGCGGCGUGCCUAAUACAUGCAAGUCGAGCGAACGGACGAGAAGCUUGCUUCUCUGAUGUUAGCGGCGGACGGGUGAGUAACACGUGGAUAACCUACCUAUAAGACUGGGAUAACUUCGGGAAACCGGAGCUAAUACCGGAUGAUAUUUUGAACCGCAUGGUUCAAAAGUGAAUGACGGUCUUGCUGUCACUUAUAGAUGGAUCCGCGCUGCAUUAGCUAGUUGGUAAGGUAACGGCUUACCAAGGCAACGAUGCAUAGCCGACCUGAGAGGGUGAUCGGCCACACUGGAACUGAGACACGGUCCAGACUCCUACGGGAGGCAGCAGUAGGGAAUCUUCCGCAAUGGGCGAAAGCCUGACGGAGCAACGCCGCGUGAGUGAUGAAGGUCUUCGGAUCGUAAAGCUCUGUUAUUAGGGAAGAACAGAUGUGUAAGAAACUGUGCACAUCUUGACGGUACCUAAUCAGAAAGCCACGGCUAACUACGUG
Molecule: ribosomal RNA, 497 nt
Filed under: uncultured bacterium
Lineage: Bacteria
Description: partial 16S ribosomal RNA
Rfam family: Bacterial small subunit ribosomal RNA
Source: RNAcentral